GAGGGUAUAGCUAAGUGGUAGAGCACUGUGCUUAGAAUGCACAAGGUCAUGGGUUCAAUCCCCAGUACCUCUA
This 73-nucleotide transfer RNA is filed under the name Camelus bactrianus (Bactrian camel). It matches the Rfam family "tRNA". Rfam says of the family: Transfer RNA (tRNA) molecules are approximately 80 nucleotides in length. The record is from Rfam by way of RNAcentral. Lineage: Eukaryota; Metazoa; Chordata; Mammalia; Artiodactyla; Camelidae. RNAcentral also lists the same sequence under 2 other names.